Non-coding RNA from Eublepharis macularius, 69 nucleotides. NCBI's taxonomy places the organism in Eukaryota, Metazoa, Chordata, Lepidosauria, Squamata, Eublepharidae. The record is from the annotation of a RefSeq genome assembly.
GUAAGUAUAGUUUAAAUAAAACAUUAGGCUGUGGCCCUAAAAAUAUAGACUAACACACUAUUAUAUACC